CCUACGGGAGACAGCAGUGAGGAAUAUUGGUCAAUGGCCGGAAGGCUGAACCAGCCAUGCCGCGUGAAGGUCAGUGCCCUAUGGGCGUUAAACUUCUUUUGUGCGGGAGCAAUAAUGGUCACGUGUGGCCAGACGAGAGUACCGUACGAAUAAGCAUCGGCUAACUCCGUGCCAGCAGCCGCGGUAAUACGGGGGAUGCAAGCGUUAUCCGGAUUUAUUGGGGUUAAAGGGUGCGUAGGCUGUGAGGUAAGUCAGCGGUGAAAUGGCCCCGGUGAACGGGGUGAAGUGCCAUUGAUACUGCCUUGCUGGAAUGCGGAUGCCGUGGGAGGAAUGUGUGGUGUAGCGGUGAAAUGCAUAGAUAUCACACAGAACACCGAUUGCGAAGGCAUCUCACGAAUCCGCGAUUGACGCUGAUGCACGAAAGCGUGGGUAUCAAACAGGAUUAGAUACCCCUGUAGUC
RNAcentral lists this ribosomal RNA (460 nucleotides) under uncultured bacterium. RNAcentral describes it as "partial 16S ribosomal RNA". It matches the Rfam family "Bacterial small subunit ribosomal RNA", at positions 338 to 795 of the family's 1533-position model. The record is from RNAcentral.